This 77-nucleotide transfer RNA is filed under the name Bacteroidaceae bacterium. RNAcentral describes it as "tRNA-Thr". It matches the Rfam family "tRNA". From Rfam's summary of the family: Transfer RNA (tRNA) molecules are approximately 80 nucleotides in length. Their secondary structure includes four short double-helical elements and three loops (D, anti-codon, and T loops). Lineage: Bacteria; Pseudomonadati; Bacteroidota; Bacteroidia; Bacteroidales; Bacteroidaceae. The record is from RNAcentral.
GCUGCCAUAGCUCAAUGAGGCAGAGCACCGGCUUUGUAACCCGGAGGUUGUGAGUUCAAUCCUCACUGGCAGCUCCA